Molecule: ribosomal RNA, 253 nt
Filed under: uncultured bacterium
Lineage: Bacteria
Description: partial 16S ribosomal RNA
Rfam family: Bacterial small subunit ribosomal RNA
Source: RNAcentral
UACGUAGGGCGCGAGCGUUGUCCGGAAUUAUUGGGCGUAAAGGGCUUGUAGGCGGUUGGUCGCGUCUGUCGUGAAAUCCUCUGGCUUAACUGGGGGCGUGCGGUGGGUACGGGCUGGCUUGAGUGCGGUAGGGGAGACUGGAACUCCUGGUGUAGCGGUGGAAUGCGCAGAUAUCAGGAAGAACACCGGUGGCGAAGGCGGGUCUCUGGGCCGUUACUGACGCUGAGGAGCGAAAGCGUGGGGAGCGAACAGG